GACGAACGCUGGCGGCGUGCCUAAUACAUGCAAGUUGAGCGCUGAAGGUUGGUACUUGUACCAACUGGAUGAGCAGCGAACGGGUGAGUAACGCGUGGGGAAUCUGCCUUUGAGCGGGGGACAACAUUUGGAAACGAAUGCUAAUACCGCAUAAAAACUUUAAACACAAGUUUUAAGUUUGAAAGAUGCAAUUGCAUCACUCAAAGAUGAUCCCGCGUUGUAUUAGCUAGUUGGUGAGGUAAAGGCUCACCAAGGCGAUGAUACAUAGCCGACCUGAGAGGGUGAACGGCCACAGUGGGACUGAGACACGGCCCAAACUCCUACGGGAGGCAGCAGUAGGGAAUCUUCGGCAAUGGACGAAAGUCUGACCGGGCAACGCCGCGGGAGUGAAGAAGGGUUUCGGAUCGUAAAACUCGGUUGGUAGAGAAGAACGUUGGUGAGAGUGGAAAGCUCAUCAAGUGACGGUAACUACCCAGAAAGGGACGGCUAACUACGUG
RNAcentral lists this ribosomal RNA (497 nucleotides) under uncultured bacterium. Its description in RNAcentral is "partial 16S ribosomal RNA". It matches the Rfam family "Bacterial small subunit ribosomal RNA", at positions 28 to 507 of the family's 1533-position model. The record is from RNAcentral.